RNAcentral lists this ribosomal RNA (361 nucleotides) under uncultured bacterium. RNAcentral describes it as "bacterial SSU rRNA". It matches the Rfam family "Bacterial small subunit ribosomal RNA", at positions 547 to 910 of the family's 1533-position model. The record is from RNAcentral.
GGAAUUACUGGGCUUAAAGAGUUCGUAGGUGGUUGAAAAAGUUAGAGGUGAAAUCCCAGAGCUUAACUCUGGAACUGCCUUCAAAACUUUUCAGCUUGAGUAUGAUUGAGGAAAGCAGAAUUUCUAGUGUAGCGGUGAAAUGCGUAGAUAUUACAUAGAAUACCAAUUGCGAAGGCAGCUUUCUGGAUCAUUACUGACACUGAGGAACGAAAGCAUGGGUAGCGAAGAGGAUUAGAUACCCUGGUAGUCCACGCCGUAAACGAUGUGUGCUAGACGUUGGAAAUUUAUUUUCAGUGUCGCAGCGAAACCGAUAAACACACCGCCUGGGGAGUACGACCGCAAGGUUAAAACUCAAAUGAAU